RNAcentral lists this ribosomal RNA (253 nucleotides) under uncultured bacterium. Its description in RNAcentral is "partial 16S ribosomal RNA". It matches the Rfam family "Bacterial small subunit ribosomal RNA", at positions 524 to 776 of the family's 1533-position model. The record is from RNAcentral.
UACAGAGGGUGCGAGCGUUAAUCGGAAUUACUGGGCGUAAAGCGAGCGUAGUCGGUUAUUUAAGUCGGAUGUGAAAUCCCCGGGCUCAACCUGGGAAUUGCAUUCGAUACUGGAUAGCUAGAGUUCGGCAGAGGGAAGCGGAAUUUCGGGUGUAGCGGUGAAAUGCGUAGAUAUCCGAAGGAACAUCAGUGGCGAAAGCGGCUUCCUGGACCAGAACUGACGAUCAGGCUCGAAAGCGUGGGGAGCAAACAGG